AGAAAAACAAAUUCUGUUAUGUAUAAACUAAACUCUUAAACAGGAAUGGAAGACUGUCCAGAUCCAGAACUUCCAGAUAUAGGGCGUGACACAGAAGGUUUCAGUUGGGUGUCAGGAUAAUCCAUAUGGAUUUAAUGGUGCGGUGGUGUAUGGAGAUGAAACCUAUGGCAUGACCUCAAGAUGUAUCCCAGAUAUGACUGGCUACAAUCAAUACCUAACUAGGUAGGUCUAUAAAAUUAAUUGAAAGAAAUGAAUCUUAUGCAGGCUACUCUACUAA
RNAcentral lists this long non-coding RNA (277 nucleotides) under Sinocyclocheilus anshuiensis. RNAcentral's name for it is "lncRNA (ENSSANG00000036067.1)". Lineage: Eukaryota; Metazoa; Chordata; Actinopteri; Cypriniformes; Cyprinidae. The record is from RNAcentral.